UAUUAGGUUGAUGCAAAAGUAAUUGAAGUUUUUGCCAUUAAAAGUAACGCCAAGAACUGCAGUUACUUUUGCACCAACCUAAUAUAGUUCUCACACAGUAAAAUUC
This 106-nucleotide microRNA precursor is filed under the name Chlorocebus sabaeus (green monkey). Its description in RNAcentral is "miRNA (ENSCSAG00000026981.1)". Lineage: Eukaryota; Metazoa; Chordata; Mammalia; Primates; Cercopithecidae. The record is from RNAcentral.